GGAACAUUCUGGAAUGUAGUCAGCAGGCAGGUCAGGGAGACAGACCAAUCAGCAGUAUCCUUCUUGCUGAUCCUGGCAGGUUGCUGAAGAAUCUGAGCAGAGAUGGGGAUGGGGGCUGGAAAGUCUGGUUACAAAAGAAACCACUUAGGUCAGACAAUAACAAGGGAGAAAGUGCUCAGCGCACUGAAGAGCCCACAGAGCUGCUCAGCCUAUUGUGACAACUGUUUGUGAAAGCCUUCCCACCCUUGCGGUAAGGGUUCACUCAGGUCUUCUCCAGAUGGGAAAUGGGCCAGAUCCAAAAACUCUUGCUCAGGGGUUUCAAGCUACUCCAGAAACCCGCAGCAAUCCUAUAAACAGCCACACGUUGAAUUUUCUGCCUGCCGAGCUCCAGGGUCCACAGGAGCCAGUAUUUGUGGCGCAGAGAGAGGCAGAAGAGCUUUGUGACAGAGAGCUGGGAGCUGGGUAAGAUUCUCUGUUCUUCAGCGGUUUAUCGCCAUCUCGCAGCAUCCGGUUGUGUAAUGCUUAUCGCUUGCUGCUCCUCGGGGGAUGUCUGUGUUGGUGUGUCUGAGUGCCUCAGUCUUCAGGUUCUGAGUUGCAGCUUUGCUCUGACCACGAGAACAUUCCAGGCAUCAAUGGAAGCUAUUCAUCCACAGCAGAUUUUAACUGGCCAUGCAACACAUUUGGUUUUCUUUGUAACUGAAAUAUGGAAUCCCCAUCUCCCCAUCUUUUUUUUUAAAGUUCACGAUUCGAAGUCCACCCUUCCAGAGGGGCCCGAUGAAGCGGAUGGAUUAUUAGAAGGUUGCCUGGUAGAAACAGACUGAAAGCAAAGAAGUGGAGUGGUUUUGAGAGACUUUCAUUAAACAUGUCAGAAUAAUCCAAGAGUUAUCAGUAUUUCUGUACAGUAUGCCUUCCUAGCAAACAUGAAGAAGAAGAGUCUACUUUUUAUACUUCAUAUGAACAUGAGAACUGAGGUCAUCAACCUCCUGGUCAAUGGGAUGACAGAUGUUGAAGCGAGCUCAGAGGUUAUUCCUACAUACAUUCCUGAGGGUGGAGAAGCUAGGGGGCAUUUACCCACUACCAAGUACUAUGUGAAGUGCUCUAUCUAUCUAUCUAUCUAUCUCAUUUAAUGCUUAUAACAACCCCAUGAAAUCGAUGUUAUAUAUAUCCUUGUAGUGGUUUGAAUUAUGUCCCCCCAAAAGAUAUGUCUACGUCCUAAUCCCAGGUACCUCUGAAUGUGACCUUAUUUGGAAAUAGGAUCUUUGUAGAUAGAUUUAGUUAAGAUAAGGUCAUAGUGGAUUAAGAUGGACCCUUAAUCAAAUGACCUGUGUUCUUGUAAGAGGAGAAGACAGAAACACAGAAUGCAUAGUUGGAAGAUGAUGUGAAGACACAGAAGAAAAUACCAUGGGACAGUUAAAAGCUUGGAGUGAUGCAUCCACAAGCCAAGGAAUGCCAAAGGUUGCUGGUAACCACUAGAAGCUAGAAAAGGCAAGGGAGACUUCUUCCCUAAAGGCUUCUAAUGGAGCAUGGCCCUACUGACGCCUGGAUUUCAGACUGCAAGGGAAUAAAUUUCUGUUGUUUAAGGCUCUGGGUUUGUGG
This is a long non-coding RNA of Ursus maritimus (polar bear), 1596 nucleotides long. The record is from Ensembl. Lineage: Eukaryota; Metazoa; Chordata; Mammalia; Carnivora; Ursidae.